This 301-nucleotide ribosomal RNA is filed under the name uncultured bacterium. RNAcentral describes it as "partial 16S ribosomal RNA". It matches the Rfam family "Bacterial small subunit ribosomal RNA", at positions 509 to 807 of the family's 1533-position model. The record is from RNAcentral.
CAGUCGCCACGGUAAAACGUAGGGCGCAAGCGUUGUCCGGAAUUAUUGGGCGUAAAGAGCUCGUAGGCGGUCUGUCGCGUCUGGUGUGAAAUCCCGAGGCUCAACCUCGGGCUUGCAUCGGGUACGGGCAGACUAGAGUGCGGUAGGGGAGACUGGAAUUCCUGGUGUAGCGGUGGAAUGCGCAGAUAUCAGGAGGAACACCGAUGGCGAAGGCAGGUCUCUGGGCCGCAACUGACGCUGAGGAGCGAAAGCAUGGGGAGCGAACAGGAUUAGAUACCCGAGUAGUCCCUGUCUCUUAUAC